Long non-coding RNA from Mustela lutreola (European mink), 1802 nucleotides. RefSeq lists it as uncharacterized. The record is from RefSeq and is a predicted model, not a curated record. NCBI's taxonomy places the organism in Eukaryota, Metazoa, Chordata, Mammalia, Carnivora, Mustelidae. The transcript is spliced from 4 exons.
CAUGCGAUCCUUCUUCCCAGUUAUUUUGUGCUCUGGCCUGGCCUGGCCUUCAGAGGUGCCCCAGGGGGUCUGCUGAAUAAUAAAAAGCCAGCUUCCCCCGGCUUCAGAUGGAGCAGAGCACCUCCCCCGUUCUGACUCAGUGGGCCCUGGUGAUGGCAGAGGGGGAGAGAGAUGUCUGAAGAAUUCUCAUCUUUGCGUCCCCAGUGCCCAGCUCUCUCAUGCCUCACAGAGCAGGGCUGACAAGUACGUGCUGUGAGUCCUGUGAAGAUACUAGAAUGGGGCAGGUGAAAGGCCAGGCUAGGGAGAGCUCAUCAGGAGGGUCUUUAUUUUAGUCUCCAUCAUUUAUCCCUUAUUGUGAUUCAUUCUGUUUUCUUUUGAAGACUCAAAAUUAGACACAAAGUUACUUAAAAAAUUUCCCAAUUCACCUUUUUUUCCUGCGCCUUCUUGUAUAGUUACCUUAUUUUUCUCGAAUGCUCUUUGACACCACCAUUUUAUUUACUUUAUUUGGAGAACAUUUUUCUUUCACUGGAGAGCCUUGAGAUACUCCCAGCAGGUUGUCUGUGAUUCCCAGAACACCAGCUUCAAAGCCCCUGAGUCUGGAGCUCAGGAGUGUCUCCAAGGAAGACCAUCAUCUUCAGGGAAAGCCAAUGGAUCAGAGGGUGGCUCAUUUGUAUGCUAAACAGAGGACAACCCUGAAGUCCAGUCCAGCUGAAAUCAAAUCAACACCUUGUCCUUGCCUUGGGGGUGCUCUCCCUGGUGGAGCCUGAAGACAGCACCAUUCUACUCCAGUAGAAUGAACUUUGGGCUGGUGCUCUUGAUAAUGUGGUUCAGCCCACAGCCCCGUCCUUGCCUCAGUGCAUGACUUCAGACAAGCAUCAGGGAAGCCACUGAUAACAGACGCUGAUAACUCUGGCAGUAACGGCUUGAAAAACCACACGUUCUGCUCGUUCACCUGUCUUCAGACUUGCGACAUUUCUUGCUCACUCUACUGACCUUGGUGACAUGUUGUCUGGUUGUGUUUCAAGGGAGUUAUGAGAUUGCUCUCCCUUGUAGACCCACCCCUAACUCUCAGUCUUGGAAAACCAGCGUUGCUAAGAGGAUGGAUCUUGGAUUCCUGACUGUUCCAGAGUCAAGGCCUUCACAUUCCCCAGUGCUACUUUAAGGACAGACAGGGUCUGGCAUAACAAGGGGUGAGGGACCAGCGUGAAGCCCUCAUGAGCUGCCAGGGAUUUAUGGUACAGUCAGCACUGGAAUGAACAGCUAUGGCUGGCGAUUGCCUAAAAACAAGUCAAUCUCUCUUUGAAUUUGUCUUCUUCAACUGCAAAGCCGAGCACUCAGGCAGAUCUCUCUAGGGACUUGGAUUCAGAAAUUCCAUAUGAGAUGGCUCAUAUAACUCUUACCAUAGAAUCAACAUGAACCAGGACAUGUUCUGAAGAGACACCCUUUUUGUGUUCCCCACAUGCGGAUGCGGGAACAUGUUGAAAAGCCAGUUUCAUCCGGGGGAGUGAGAGGUCAGCAGCUGGGGGUCCCUUCUGGUCCAGUCAACUUCCUGGUGUCCUUCCUGAGUCCCUGAGUAAAGAGGGGUGGCUCCCCGAUGUGCUCAUCCCCUGGGGCUUGGCAGCCAGGCUGAGGAUUUCCCAGGGAAAUGCUCUGCAGUUUUUGUAUGGGUCUCUGUGGCUUUUGUAGCACUGUGGGUAUCCCACCGAUCACAGUGCUUCAGAGCUUUACAAAAACCUCCCCUGGUUUCACUCUAUGUGGCCUCUGAGCACCCCUGGGGCCUGAUGUUUGCUUCAAGUCAGGCU